GUUUCCGUAGCUCAGCAGGAUAGAGCGUCCGCCUCCUAAGCGGAAGGCCAGCGGUUCAAAUCCGCUCGGGAACA
RNAcentral lists this transfer RNA (74 nucleotides) under Lacrimispora celerecrescens. RNAcentral describes it as "tRNA-Arg". It matches the Rfam family "tRNA". Rfam says of the family: Transfer RNA (tRNA) molecules are approximately 80 nucleotides in length. Lineage: Bacteria; Bacillati; Bacillota; Clostridia; Lachnospirales; Lachnospiraceae. RNAcentral also lists the same sequence under 4 other names. The record is from RNAcentral.